RNAcentral lists this ribosomal RNA (253 nucleotides) under uncultured bacterium. RNAcentral's name for it is "partial 16S ribosomal RNA". It matches the Rfam family "Bacterial small subunit ribosomal RNA", at positions 524 to 776 of the family's 1533-position model. The record is from RNAcentral.
UACAGAGGGUGCAAGCGUUAAUCGGAAUUACUGGGCGUAAAGCGUGCGUAGGUGGUUUGUUAAGUCAGGUGUGAAAUCCCCGGGCUCAACCUGGGAACUGCGCUUGAUACUGGCAGACUAGAGUGUGGUAGAGGGUAGUGGAAUUCCCGGUGUAGCGGUGAAAUGCGUAGAUAUCGGGAAGAACAUCAGUGGCGAAGGCGGCUACCUGGACCAACACUGACACUGAGGCGAGAACGCGUGGGGAGCAAACAGG